RNAcentral lists this transfer RNA (73 nucleotides) under Trichonephila inaurata madagascariensis. It matches the Rfam family "tRNA". From Rfam's summary of the family: Transfer RNA (tRNA) molecules are approximately 80 nucleotides in length. Their secondary structure includes four short double-helical elements and three loops (D, anti-codon, and T loops). Further hydrogen bonds mediate the characteristic L-shaped molecular structure. tRNAs have two regions of fundamental functional importance: the anti-codon, which is responsible for specific mRNA codon recognition, and the 3' end, to which the tRNAs corresponding amino acid is attached (by aminoacyl-tRNA synthetases). tRNAs cope with the degeneracy of the genetic code in two manners: having more than one tRNA (with a specific anti-codon) for a particular amino acid; and 'wobble' base-pairing, i.e. permitting non-standard base-pairing at the 3rd anti-codon position. Lineage: Eukaryota; Metazoa; Arthropoda; Arachnida; Araneae; Nephilidae. The record is from Rfam by way of RNAcentral.
GUCCCUGUAGCGCAAUGGACAGCGCGUUGGACUUCUAUUCCAAGGGUCGUGGGUUUGAAUCCUACCUGGAAUG